UGCUCGGACAGCUAGGGGAAGUUCAUUCCACCACCUAGGUGCCUGGACAGAGAAGAGUCUUGAUGCAGGUCUUCCUUGUACCCGGAGAGAUGGAGGGAUCAGUCGAGCAGUGCUAGAGGAUGGGAGGGAGCGUGCUGCAGUGUGGGAGUGAUAAGUGCUUUAAGGACUGAAGGCAGGCGAGAACCAGCAGAACCAGCAGGAGAGAACGAGAGGACAUGACUGCUGCUGCUGCUGCUGCUGAUGAUGGUGAUGAUGGUCACGAUGUGAACAGAAUGGUGCUAAUGCAGAUGUCACCUCACUCUAGAGUUUAUAUAAGCAGGACUGAAGGCAGGCGAGAACCAGCAGAACCACCAGGAGAGAACGAGAGGACAUGACUGCUGCUGCUGCUUCUGCUGAUGAUGGUGAUGAUGGUCACGAUGUGAACAGAAUGGUG
Long non-coding RNA from Pangasianodon hypophthalmus (striped catfish), 433 nucleotides. RefSeq lists it as uncharacterized. NCBI's taxonomy places the organism in Eukaryota, Metazoa, Chordata, Actinopteri, Siluriformes, Pangasiidae. The record is from RefSeq and is a predicted model, not a curated record. The transcript has 3 exons.